ACGAAGGGUGCAAGCGUUACUCGGAAUUACUGGGCGUAAAGCGUGCGUAGGUGGUUCGUUAAGUCUGAUGUGAAAGCCCUGGGCUCAACCUGGGAACUGCAUUGGAUACUGGCGAUCUGGAGUGCGGUAGAGGGGUGCGGAAUUCCCGGUGUAGCAGUGAAAUGCGUAGAUAUCGGGAGGAACAUCCGUGGCGAAGGCGGCACCCUGGACCAGCACUGACGCUGAGGCACGAAAGCGUGGGGAGCAAACAG
RNAcentral lists this ribosomal RNA (251 nucleotides) under uncultured prokaryote. RNAcentral describes it as "partial 16S rRNA". It matches the Rfam family "Bacterial small subunit ribosomal RNA", at positions 525 to 775 of the family's 1533-position model. The record is from RNAcentral.